CAUGGCUCAGAACGAACGCGGGCGGCGUGGCUAAGACAUGCAAGUCGUACGGACCUCAGUAGCAAUAUUGAGGUUAGUGGCGAAAGGGUGAGUAAUGAAUGGGUAACGUACCCUGAACUCGGGGAUAACAGCGCCCGCAAGGGCUUUAGCGAAAGUGCUGCUAAUACCCGAUGACAUCGCGAGAUCGCAUGGUUUUGCGAUCAAAGCCGGGGACCCGCAAGGGCCUGGUGGUUUGGGAGCGGCCCAUUUCCUAUCAGCUAGUUGGUGAGGUAACGGCUCACCAAGGCUUCGACGGGUAGCCGGACUGAGAGGUUGGCCGGCCACAUCGGGACUGAGACACUGCCCGGACACCUACGGGUGGCUGCAGUAACGAAUAUUGGGCAAUGGGCGCAAGCCUGACCCAGCGACGCCGCGUGCAGGAGGAAGUCCUUCGGGAUGUAAACUGCUGUCAGGGGCUAACAAGCAAAGGGUGUUAACAGCAUCCGGCGUUGAGUCGCCCCAGAGGAAGCCACGACUAACUCUGUGCCAGCAGUCGCGGUAAUACAGAGGUGGCAAGCGUUGUUCGGAAUCACUGGGCUUAAAGCGCGUGUAGGCGGCUCGGAAAGUGUCGUGUGAAAUCCCAGGGCUCAACCCUGGAACUGCGCGGCAAACUCCCGAGCUUGAGGCUGGUAGAGGUGCCUGGAACUCUCGGUGGAGCGGUGAAAUGCGUAGAUAUCGAGAGGAACGCCAGAGGCGAAAGCGGGGCACUGGGCCGGUUCUGACGCUGAGACGCGAAAGCGUGGGGAGCAAACAGGAUUAGAUACCCUGGUAGUCCACGCCGUAAACGAUGCACACUAGACGUCGGACCCUCUGACGGGACCGGCGUCGCAGCAAAAGUCCUAAGUGUGCCGCCUGGGGAGUACGGCCCGCAGGCUAAA
This 917-nucleotide ribosomal RNA is filed under the name uncultured bacterium. RNAcentral describes it as "bacterial SSU rRNA". It matches the Rfam family "Bacterial small subunit ribosomal RNA", at positions 18 to 898 of the family's 1533-position model. The record is from RNAcentral.